Molecule: long non-coding RNA, 719 nt
Filed under: Cairina moschata (Muscovy duck)
Lineage: Eukaryota; Metazoa; Chordata; Aves; Anseriformes; Anatidae
Description: domestica (muscovy Duck (domestic type)) lncRNA (ENSCMMG00000000161.1)
Source: RNAcentral
AUGGGUCACUGUGAUUGCAGGCACCAAGGAGGAGGGCAGCCUGACCACCUGCAUGAGCUGGGGCAGCUGCUCCUUAGGAUAGGAACAGCCUGGGCACAGCUGGUGGGAUGGGAUGGGAUGGGGAGUUUCUUCUCCACAGCAGAGCCAGCAGCAGGCUGUGCAGGGGGUGCUACCGAAAUCACAGGGGCUGCAGGGUUGGAAGAUGGCCCCAGCAGGCCCCUCCUGAAUGGGGCACUGCGCUGUGUAAGGGCAGAUGCAGUGCCACUGCUUCCUGCUCCUCACCUCCCAGCCACUUCCAGCAGCACUGGUGGGUGUCCCACCAGGAAAUCCCUCCAGAAUUGUUGCUGGCAGGGAACUGCAUCUGAGCGACCAAAGGGAAGACCAAAGAACCAAGGGCAGACAUCCCAAGGCCGGUGUUUUCCACAGGGGCGAUGUGGAGAAGCAGGCCCCGGUGUGGGCACAGCCAGAGAAGAAAUCUAUGGAAGCCAACCCACACGGUGUUGGGGACCUUGCUGGGAGAGGGCAGCAAGCACCCUGGGGAGCCGUCCUUCUGCUGCAAGGAGGCUGCAGAUGCAAGGCUCUGUCUUGGACCUCUCUCCCCUGGAAAUGUUGCCACGUGCAUAAAGCCACAGGGCUGUGUUUCUGCUUCAGUGUUCAGGUCAAAUGAACGCAGGUUUGCCCAUCUACAUGUCCCAUGACUGUUUGGAAACAGAGAAACA